UUUAAGAAGUGUUUUUUGUAAAUUCAAGAGUGAGUUUUCGAAAAAAGAUAGAAGAGGGUAUUUCUCCUUUAAGAGUGUGCUUUUGUAUAAGAGAAUGUAAUUCUCUAUAAGAGUGUGGCUAUCUUUAAAGGUGCCGGGGAAGGUUUUCCGGUUUAUCCCGGAGGGCUUGUAGCUCAGUUGGUUAGAGCGCGCGCUUGAUAAGCGUGAGGUCGGAGGUUCAAGUCCUCCCAGGCCCACCAAUUUAGAUUUGUUUAACCUACUGUUGAUGGUUCUCUCCUUCAUGAAUAAAAUGUUUGAGGGGGGAAAGAGUCUCGUAAAAGCCUUGAAUGCUUAAUAGGAGCCGAGGUUUUUUAUAGAAUAUUUGUAGUGUAUAUUAUGAGAUUUUACUAAAGAUGUGAGACUAUCAAGAAACUUGAUCAGUUUCGAUUUAAGGGUUAGGUUAGCACUUUCUUUUAGGGGCCGUAGCUCAGCUGGGAGAGCACCUGCUUUGCAAGCAGGGGGUC
Molecule: unclassified non-coding RNA, 503 nt
Filed under: Bartonella sp.
Lineage: Bacteria; Pseudomonadati; Pseudomonadota; Alphaproteobacteria; Hyphomicrobiales; Bartonellaceae
Description: partial 16S-23S ribosomal RNA intergenic spacer
Rfam family: tRNA (bases 163-236)
Source: RNAcentral